RNAcentral lists this ribosomal RNA (1528 nucleotides) under Klebsiella pneumoniae. RNAcentral's name for it is "bacterial SSU rRNA". It matches the Rfam family "Bacterial small subunit ribosomal RNA". The record is from RNAcentral. Lineage: Bacteria; Pseudomonadati; Pseudomonadota; Gammaproteobacteria; Enterobacterales; Enterobacteriaceae.
AGAGUUUGAUCAUGGCUCAGAUUGAACGCUGGCGGCAGGCCUAACACAUGCAAGUCGAGCGGUAGCACAGAGAGCUUGCUCUCGGGUGACGAGCGGCGGACGGGUGAGUAAUGUCUGGGAAACUGCCUGAUGGAGGGGGAUAACUACUGGAAACGGUAGCUAAUACCGCAUAACGUCGCAAGACCAAAGUGGGGGACCUUCGGGCCUCAUGCCAUCAGAUGUGCCCAGAUGGGAUUAGCUAGUAGGUGGGGUAACGGCUCACCUAGGCGACGAUCCCUAGCUGGUCUGAGAGGAUGACCAGCCACACUGGAACUGAGACACGGUCCAGACUCCUACGGGAGGCAGCAGUGGGGAAUAUUGCACAAUGGGCGCAAGCCUGAUGCAGCCAUGCCGCGUGUGUGAAGAAGGCCUUCGGGUUGUAAAGCACUUUCAGCGGGGAGGAAGGCGGUGAGGUUAAUAACCUCAUCGAUUGACGUUACCCGCAGAAGAAGCACCGGCUAACUCCGUGCCAGCAGCCGCGGUAAUACGGAGGGUGCAAGCGUUAAUCGGAAUUACUGGGCGUAAAGCGCACGCAGGCGGUCUGUCAAGUCGGAUGUGAAAUCCCCGGGCUUAACCUGGGAACUGCAUUCGAAACUGGCAGGCUAGAGUCUUGUAGAGGGGGGUAGAAUUCCAGGUGUAGCGGUGAAAUGCGUAGAGAUCUGGAGGAAUACCGGUGGCGAAGGCGGCCCCCUGGACAAAGACUGACGCUCAGGUGCGAAAGCGUGGGGAGCAAACAGGAUUAGAUACCCUGGUAGUCCACGCCGUAAACGAUGUCGAUUUGGAGGUUGUGCCCUUGAGGCGUGGCUUCCGGAGCUAACGCGUUAAAUCGACCGCCUGGGGAGUACGGCCGCAAGGUUAAAACUCAAAUGAAUUGACGGGGGCCCGCACAAGCGGUGGAGCAUGUGGUUUAAUUCGAUGCAACGCGAAGAACCUUACCUGGUCUUGACAUCCACAGAACUUUCCAGAGAUGGAUUGGUGCCUUCGGGAACUGUGAGACAGGUGCUGCAUGGCUGUCGUCAGCUCGUGUUGUGAAAUGUUGGGUUAAGUCCCGCAACGAGCGCAACCCUUAUCCUUUGUUGCCAGCGGUUAGGCCGGGAACUCAAAGGAGACUGCCAGUGAUAAACUGGAGGAAGGUGGGGAUGACGUCAAGUCAUCAUGGCCCUUACGACCAGGGCUACACACGUGCUACAAUGGCAUAUACAAAGAGAAGCGACCUCGCGAGAGCAAGCGGACCUCAUAAAGUAUGUCGUAGUCCGGAUUGGAGUCUGCAACUCGACUCCAUGAAGUCGGAAUCGCUAGUAAUCGUAGAUCAGAAUGCUACGGUGAAUACGUUCCCGGGCCUUGUACACACCGCCCGUCACACCAUGGGAGUGGGUUGCAAAAGAAGUAGGUAGCUUAACCUUCGGGAGGGCGCUUACCACUUUGUGAUUCAUGACUGGGGUGAAGUCGUAACAAGGUAACCGUAGGGGAACCUGCGGUUGGAUCACCU